GGAGCUUCAAUAUCAUCGUAUAUCAAAAUAGUCAAAAUAACAAAAAUGAUAAAUGAGUUACAGACCUACAAAAAUACAAGUAAGGCCUUAGGAAUAUAAUGCCCACUAAUAGAUAAGGUACUGUACUCUGAACACGUGAUGCUAGAAGUCCCUUAUCGAUGAUGUUCCUCAGACACGAACAAAAGUCUACAAAUCUGAACAUGAAGACAAUUCGAAGGCUAAGCUUUACAGGCUCUGUAAUGGGCCAAUUUAGCCCGGGCCCGUAUAAACACAAAACCAAAAAAUAAAAAAACAAUAAAUAAUAUAAAAAAAUCCAGAUAUCAAUAGUCCAUUAUCUGUCCAAUUACAUAACCUAGACCUAAAAUUAAAACCAAGUCACAAGCCCAAUAACUUAGCCCAAUACCCUAAACGGCCCAGAAAUUGAGCCCAAUGUCAGCAAACCCUAGCAGCCUUGGCUUGCGCCGAAGCAGCCCCAGCAGCCUCCAGGCGCCGUACACCCCUCCUAUGCCAGCACACGCCCUCGUACACACGCCAUACCUCCGUACCUGCAAACAAACGAGGCAGAACAGCAGCGAAUGCAAACAAAAGAGAAAUAUUGUAUUUUUUAUUUUGAUUUUCUUUUUUUCUUCGGCUAUAAAGCUGAAAUUUUAAUCCUUGUAAUCGGUUACAUAAAAAAACAGACAUUUACGCAAUCCGCAAUAGAGAGAAAUCAGAAUAGAACUAGAAGGUGAUUUUUUUUUGAACGCCUUGUGUUUCUUUUUUUUUUUUCGCAUCUGUUUCAUCUUCCUUUCGUGUUUCAUAUGUUUUAUGCAUAAUAUAAUAAAAAAGGAAGCAUACCUUCAAACGAGCCAUCGAGGACCAUCUCUUCUUCGUCGAAAUUGAAGCUUGAGAUGGGUUUUCGGGCUAAAAAUCUUACCUUUCGAGGUGAAGCUUAGAAUAGGAGAAUGAAACAACUCCAUGGGGAGCCACCGUCCAUCAAUUUCAAUGGUGGAAUGGGGCAGUCGAAUGGUCAAAUAGGGGGAUGGGAAAACCCCAAAAUUUGCUGUGUUGAAACCCUAAGAAUUGGGUCUGCUGCUUAUGGCGAAAAAAAGGGGAAUAGUAAGCUGCCAUUCAAUGGCUUUUAGUUUCAAAUAUUAAGCAAAACGGUACCGUGUAAGAAGAGUGGGGGGAGCCUUUUGCGCCUAAAAUGGUCUAUUUGUG
Molecule: long non-coding RNA, 1200 nt
Filed under: Gossypium barbadense (sea-island cotton)
Lineage: Eukaryota; Viridiplantae; Streptophyta; Magnoliopsida; Malvales; Malvaceae
Description: long non-coding RNA (GBAR_LNC012390)
Source: RNAcentral